GAUGAACGCUAGCGGCAGGCUUAACACAUGCAAGUCGAGGGGUAUUUAUCUUCGGAUAGAGAGACCGGCGCACGGGUGCGUAACGCGUAUGCAAUCUACCUUUUACAGAGGGAUAGCCCAGAGAAAUUUGGAUUAAUACCUCAUAGUAUAUAGACUCGGCAUCGAGAUUAUAUUAAAGUCACAACGGUAAAAGAUGAGCAUGCGUCCCAUUAGCUAGUUGGUAAGGUAACGGCUUACCAAGGCUACGAUGGGUAGGGGUCCUGAGAGGGAGAUCCCCCACACUGGUACUGAGCCAAGGACCAGACUCCUACGGGAGGCAGCAGUGAGGAAUAUUGGACAAUGGGAGCAAGCCUGAUCCAGCCAUGCCGCGUGCAGGAUGACGGUCCUAUGGAUUGUAAACUGCUUUUAUACGAGAAGAAACACUGCUACGUGUAGCAGCUUGACGGUAUCGUAAGAAUAAGGAUCGGCUAACUCCGUG
Molecule: ribosomal RNA, 478 nt
Filed under: uncultured bacterium
Lineage: Bacteria
Description: partial 16S ribosomal RNA
Rfam family: Bacterial small subunit ribosomal RNA
Source: RNAcentral